RNAcentral lists this long non-coding RNA (2408 nucleotides) under Homo sapiens (human). RNAcentral describes it as "HSALNT0401319". Lineage: Eukaryota; Metazoa; Chordata; Mammalia; Primates; Hominidae. The record is from RNAcentral.
CUACAAGGAUUGUCUUGUCAUAUUGCAAUAGCUUAGAGGUCAGCAAACUUUUUCUGUAAAGGGCCAGAUAGUCUUUGCAGGCCGUAUGGUCUUUGUAGUACGGCUGUUCAACCCUGCGGUUAUAGGGCAAGAGCAGCUGUAAGCAAUGACUUAGGCCACUAACUGCAGUGAUGCUACGACCAUUUCCAUAGGUCCAGCUUGAAACAUUCAUUCAUUUCUACAAGGGCAGAUUCAAAAUCUUGUGAGAAUCUGCUGGCGUCUCUUACUUUCUCAACCUGAUUUUUGUACCUAACCAUCGAUAAAUAUCCAUAAGGCAAUGCAAGUGGAAAAGGACUUUAAAAUCUAGCUCUCCAGGGCAGACAGAUGGAGAAAGGGAAGUUCUUGUUAUACCACGGGAGCAGGCUGGACAUCCUAGUGGUUAGGAAUCAAAACUGGGUUUAAUCCUGGCUCUGGCAUAAGCCAUGUGAUCCUGGACAAGUUACUCUCCAGACUCAGUUUCCACAUCUGUAAAAUAGAAAUAAUAAUAACAGCACGUUCCAUCUACUGCCAUUUGGAGACAAAACAUAUAAAGUAUUUCCACAGCACAAUGCCUGGGACAUAAUAAAUAUUCAAUAAAUAAUAAGUGUUCAAUAAAACCUGUGAUUCCCAAACAAGUCUUACAACUCUGUGUUUUCUUAAAAACAAAAGAAAAUCCCCAAAACUAAUUCACUAAAAAUAAGCACAAAGGAAUGACAGCAAGGCUACAGGAAGACAUUUCCAAAAUCGGGUCCCAAGGUGUUAGAAAAAUUGUCCACUCUAGAUCAAACCUCUAGCAAACCCCCAACCUCUCUGUGCUUCCCCCUCAAAAAAAGCCUGAUUCUAUGUCCUUUUAUCAGUUUGUCUUUCUUGUGGGUGCCUGAGCAAUGCUGAGACAUUUUGAGCGUUUUAGACAUUUGCUGAGUUUAAGGCAUUCUUUCUCCCCUCCUACCGGUCUUCUCUCCACACCCCAGCCAUUAACUCCUCCAGGGAGUAUGGUCUGUUUAGCAAGAGGAGAGCACUGGACAGCUUGGGCCCAUCGCAGACCGGAGGUGAAUCAUCUUCGGGGCUCCAUUCUUUUUCAUGUCUGGACGGGGCUAAAACUCUGUUGACAACACAGGCACAAGUCACAACUUGUUAUACCACGUGACACCUUCCGAGCAGCGGAGGCUUCCCUCUACUCUAGGAGUCACACAAAAGGCCAAAGGUGCACGAUUCUCCUCGGGGCUCCUUCCUCUCCGCUCCCUUCCCAACCAAGAAGGACACGCAGAACUUUGCUGGAGAGAUCAAUGUUUCUAGAACACCCUGAAACAAAAGUCCUGAUAUGUGCAAAUAAUACACACCCACAAAAGAAAAUAACCUCUUUGCGCUGACACCCUGCCUCUCCGAAGAGGACGUUUUCUCCCUACUUGGAAUUUCCAUCAGCACCUGGGUUGGUACCAAACUCAGGACGUGGUGGACACGCUCUCUGACUCUGUAUUUCAGGAAGCUGCCAAUCAAUAGAGAUUUAAAGCUUCUGACUUCCGCAUAUCCGAAUACCAGGUAGGAAACAUCUGCUUUGGAGUAAGAGAAGGCCCCAGUACCUGCUUUUUCUCCGGAACCGUGAGAGGGAGCCAUGGGGAGGAGACCAGAAUUUCAGCCUUCCUAUCUCCCUUUACCACAAGGACGCCUUGAGGACCCAAGUCAAAUUGAGAUCUUUCAACCACGGGCUCGGAAACCCGCUUUCUGUGUCCACUUCAACCAAACACGUCUAACAGGCAGGAAUUUAGAGGUGGCCAAGGUAACGAGAACUAGUGGUUUUCACCCUGUUUGGUGACCUUCAUAGGGCUUAUUUAUGCACUUCAAGCGCAUGACCUAAUACAUGUUGGUUUGGCUUCUCUUCUCGUAAUAGCAGCCUGUAAAAAGCUUUUGAGAAUUCCCCGUGUUUUCUCAUUUUGGGUCAAGAAAAUAAAAUCGAUAUCUAAGUAACCUUAAAAAAAUGGCCUGCACAAUCUAAAAAUUUGGAAUGUUUCCACUAGGACUAAGGAUAUCUCUGAAAGCCUCAAAGAUCAUCAAAAUGAAGUCCAACAUUUGCUGUUUUUAAGGUGAGAUAUUUGGUAACGGAGUAUGAGAGAACUGGCUAAGGGGGCUUUUUGACAUAAGUCAAACAAUGACAUUUAAAACUCACGUAAAAGCAAUUACUGUGUGGAAUUUUUCUGUGUUUUUCUCAUUUCUUAAACAGAAGUGUAUAUGUUUUCAGCAUAGCUUCUUGCUGUAAUUUUCUUUCUUGACAAACCCACAUCUUACCAUGAAACCCAAAGUAUGCAUGCUGCAGAAACAAUAAUGGUUGAAACAGACCCGGCUGUCUCUGGCAUGAUUUUUCUUUACAAAAUUAAAAUGUCUUUUGGCUAAUA